GCAGGGGUGGCAGAGUCCGGUCAAAUGCGCUAGAUUGAGGGUCUAGUCCCUUAGUGGGUGCGAGGGUUCGAAUCCCUUCCCCUGCA
RNAcentral lists this transfer RNA (86 nucleotides) under Nanobdellota archaeon. Its description in RNAcentral is "tRNA-Leu". It matches the Rfam family "tRNA". From Rfam's summary of the family: Transfer RNA (tRNA) molecules are approximately 80 nucleotides in length. Their secondary structure includes four short double-helical elements and three loops (D, anti-codon, and T loops). Further hydrogen bonds mediate the characteristic L-shaped molecular structure. tRNAs have two regions of fundamental functional importance: the anti-codon, which is responsible for specific mRNA codon recognition, and the 3' end, to which the tRNAs corresponding amino acid is attached (by aminoacyl-tRNA synthetases). tRNAs cope with the degeneracy of the genetic code in two manners: having more than one tRNA (with a specific anti-codon) for a particular amino acid; and 'wobble' base-pairing, i.e. permitting non-standard base-pairing at the 3rd anti-codon position. Lineage: Archaea; Nanobdellati; Nanobdellota. The record is from RNAcentral.